UAACACGUAAACAACCUGCCUUCAGGAUGGGGACAACAGACGGAAACGACUGCUAAUACCGAAUAAGUUCCAAGAGCCGCAUGGCCCAUGGAAGAAAAGGUGGCCUCUACCUGUAAGCUAUCGCCUGAAGAGGGGUUUGCGUCUGAUUAGCUGGUUGGAGGGGUAACGGCCCACCAAGGCGACGACCAGUAGCCGGUCUGAGAGGAUGAACGGCCACACUGGAACUGAGACACGGUCCAG
RNAcentral lists this ribosomal RNA (240 nucleotides) under uncultured bacterium. Its description in RNAcentral is "partial 16S ribosomal RNA". It matches the Rfam family "Bacterial small subunit ribosomal RNA", at positions 111 to 334 of the family's 1533-position model. The record is from RNAcentral.